GUAAUAUUGGCUUACUUUGUGCAAUUGGAAAUUCCACCCCUUUUAAAUAGAAUAUUGACGUGUCUCCAUCUUUUUUCAUGUCCGUAGAGGAGAGGAAGCUGCUCUCACUGCGUUUGCUUGGAAUGCAGUCCAUAUAUUCGUUAAAAUGUCACAAUGAAUAGGGCUUCUGCUGUAGGAUUUAAUGGACCUCGUCCAUUCUCU
This 201-nucleotide unclassified non-coding RNA is filed under the name Hevea brasiliensis (rubber tree). Lineage: Eukaryota; Viridiplantae; Streptophyta; Magnoliopsida; Malpighiales; Euphorbiaceae. The record is from RNAcentral.